AUUUUUUAAACCACUGGGCCUUUUUUCUUUCACAAAGAAUCUAGACCCAGUUCAAUCUGGAAUGGAUAGUCUCACUACUUAGAUGGAUUCGUGAAAGUACCUAUUGCCACGAAAGAUCAUUUUGUCGCACGGUGCAAUACCUUAGAUACCAAAAAA
Molecule: long non-coding RNA, 156 nt
Organism: Rhodamnia argentea
Lineage: Eukaryota; Viridiplantae; Streptophyta; Magnoliopsida; Myrtales; Myrtaceae
Exons: 3
Source: RefSeq, a predicted model, not a curated record